UACGGAGGGAGCUAGCGUUGUUCGGAAUUACUGGGCGUAAAGCGCACGUAGGCGGCCGUUCAAGUCAGAGGUGAAAGCCCGGGGCUCAACCCCGGAAUAGCCUUUGAAACUAGAUGGCUUGAAUCUUGGAGAGGUCAGUGGAAUUCCGAGUGUAGAGGUGAAAUUCGUAGAUAUUCGGAAGAACACCAGUGGCGAAGGCGACUGACUGGACAAGUAUUGACGCUGAGGUGCGAAAGCGUGGGGAGCAAACAGG
RNAcentral lists this ribosomal RNA (253 nucleotides) under uncultured bacterium. Its description in RNAcentral is "partial 16S ribosomal RNA". It matches the Rfam family "Bacterial small subunit ribosomal RNA", at positions 524 to 776 of the family's 1533-position model. The record is from RNAcentral.